GCUUGCUGGAUGCUGACGAGCGGCGGACGGGUGAGUAAUGCAUAGGAAUCUGCCCGAUAGUGGGGGAUAACCUGGGGAAACCCAGGCUAAUACCGCAUACGUCCUACGGGAGAAAGGGGGCUCCGGCUCCCGCUAUGGGAUGAGCCUAUGUCGGAUUAGCUAGUUGGUGAGGUAACGGCUCACCAAGGCCACGAUCCGUAGCUGGUCUGAGAGGAUGAUCAGCCACAUCGGGACUGAGACACGGCCCGAACUCCUACGGGAGGCAGCAGUGGGGAAUAUUGGACAAUGGGCGCAAGCCUGAUCCAGCCAUGCCGCGUGUGUGAAGAAGGCCCUCGGGUUGUAAAGCACUUUCAGCGAGGAAGAACGCCUAGCGGUUAAUACCCGCUAGGAAAGACAUCACUCGCAGAAGAAGCACCGGCUAACUCCGUGCCAGCAGCCGCGGUAAUACGGAGGGUGCAAGCGUUAAUCGGAAUUACUGGGCGUAAAGCGCGCGUAGGUGGCUUGAUAAGCCGGUUGUGAAAGCCCCGGGCUCAACCUGGGAACGGCAUCCGGAACUGUCAAGCUAGAGUGCAGGAGAGGAAGGUAGAAUUCCUCGGUGUAGCGGUGAAAUGCGUAGAGAUCGGGAGGAAUACCAGUGGCGAAAGGCGGCCUUCUGGACUGACACUGACACUGAGGUGCGAAAAGCGUGGGUAGCAAA
Molecule: ribosomal RNA, 697 nt
Filed under: Vreelandella aquamarina
Lineage: Bacteria; Pseudomonadati; Pseudomonadota; Gammaproteobacteria; Oceanospirillales; Halomonadaceae
Description: bacterial SSU rRNA
Rfam family: Bacterial small subunit ribosomal RNA
Source: RNAcentral